GGGAUCGGGAAUCAGUACUGGAAAUUCAGUAAUAAAUACGUGCCUUUAAAAAGCAGAUGCUUUGUAAUUUAAAAAUCAAAGAGAAAGUGACAAAAGUUGCUAUUAAUGCACAACUAAUGGAACAAAGAAAGUAAGGCUGGAAGCAGAUGCAUCGUGUGCUUGGCAGGAACAAACGUGCACGACAAAAGGGAAAUACAUUACUCUUCAGUGUUCCAGAUGUCUUGUUAUGUUCUGUGACCAUCAAAGGAAAAAGGCUACUACUUUCAAAUGGUACAUAAAUUCAGGAGUCUUUAUUUUGAAAAAAUUAUUCCAACAAUGUUUCACAAUGAACAAUAAAUCAAAUAUAUCUACCAUAUAUUUGAAAUGAAAAUUGAAAUCAACCUGUUUUUGCCUAAUACCUAAGACCACCUCUUGCAAUUAAGACUGGUCUUCAUAAAUCUUGUCAUAUCAAAACAUCUUCCAAGAUAUGCCCUGCUGACUAAAACGGCCUCGCUCUUUCUUUCAGAUUUCUCAGUUAUCUCAUUCCCUAUUCUUAGCCUUAAGUGCUGAUAUUAUUUCUCAUAAACUAUUCCAGAAACCAAGACUUGUCCUUGACUAAUGAUAAACACAAAUAAAGAAAUUCUUGACUCUAUAAUCUUGUGAGGAAUGAGAACUGGAACUUUCAGUUAUUACCCAAGUCUUUUCUAAGGCAAAGGGAGUUAAUUUUGGAGAAGUAAUAAAUAAAACAUGUGGUUGUGCCAAAAGAUUUUGCCAAAUUAAAUUCUAUGUUCUCAUCUCAAAAAUAAGUUAUAUUCUAAGCUAAUGUAGAUAAGGAAAGGCAUAAUACCAACAAGUAGUAAUAGAAAAUAGUCCCAAACCUUGAACGUUUAGAAAUGUCAAGGGUCACGGAAAAAUUAAAAUUAAGGUGCUAAAUAGAUGUGAACUUGCACAAUUUUCAGUGAACUAACUGAAGGCCUUCACAGUUCAAUUAAAAAGUAUGAGAUUUUUCAAACAUCUUAAGACAGUCAUACAGAAUCUGCAGGUGAGAUUCAAAAUUGAAUGACGUCUAUUUUAUUGAGUUUAGAGUCAGGCAGAUUCAUGACUAACCUUCAUAUAUGCAUAAGGAUAUUCUCAUUUUAACAAUGUUUUUUAAGUAGAAAAACUCUAUAAACAAAUAUUCUUCAAAAGGGGCAUCCAUAUAAUGAAAUCUUGGAGCUCCAAAGAGAUAAUGAAUUAGAGCUGGAUGUGGUAAUAUGGAAAAAUAACCAAGUUAAACAGAGAAUCAAGUUAUAAAACCAUACAUUUAGAACAACAGAGGACAGCAAGUGGCAUAUAUAUAGAGAGAAAGAAGUAUAUAAUAAAUGAUAACAUUUCUGAAAGACUACAAAAACACAAGUAACUGUAUUUCCCUGGGAUGUGGGAAGAGAGUCACAGGAAGGAGACACACUUUUCCACUUUAUACCCCUUUGUAUAUUGCGUAAUUUUUAAACAUCAUAAACAUGUCUUAUAUUUUGGUAACAUAUAAAAAACCUUUAAAGUCUUUAAAAAACCUGAUUGUACCCACAGCAUUCUAUGAAACACUGGGUAACAUUAAUUCACAAUCCUUUCAUGCCUUUUACUUAACGAUUAUUUAGUCAAAAUUAGAAGGCUUCUGGGUUGUUUGCUUUCUCUGUCCCUCAAGAUUGAGGAAAAGGUGAGAAGUUUUAAGUCUCACUGGUUAAACUGUAAUUUGGAUAAUAUCUAUUUAAGAUUCCAGAGAACCAAUUAAGAAACUAACCAAUGAACAUCUGAAUCACCAAUUAAAAUAUUUUAUCUAGGAUCACUUUUCCUGGUUACAAAAGCCUGAAUCUUUAAACUCCAUAGCCCUGUGAGUUCAACGACCCUAGAUUUCAAAAAUAUAGUUAAGCAUGUUGAAUCUUCCUCCAUUAGCAUAAAAUAAGCAAAAUACAUAGAGGCUAUCGAGUUUGAAAGGAAAUACAUUUUUGGCAAGUCUUCACCAGAAAAUAGCAUCAUAAAUUCAAAUCCUACAGAACUGACUCCAAAAUCAGAACAGUUAACAGCUGGCAUAAGAGGAUCCCUUUUAUGUCUACUCAGAAUUUGCCAAUUCAAAGGCCUUAAAACGUUUUUGAACGUUUGAGGCUCAGAAAAUUUAUAGUAGUAGGCUAGUGGCCACCUUGAGAGUACGAACACCCUUCAAACUACACAGAAUUCAAGUUUUUAAAACACGGUGAUGGUCAAACAAAACACAACUGCAGAGAGAAUUCAGAGUAAAUGCCAUAAAUGUGCAACCUCUACAUUAGAACAAUAAUUGGACUUUUUAAACCAGGGUUUUCACAACACUUGGGGGUCUUUCCAGAUUAAAUACUUCAGUGCCCACUACACUUCUAGAAGUAAUUAAUUACUAUGUUUAGUCGUUCAGUUGUGUCCAACUCUUUGUGAUCCCAUGGACUGUGGAUGGCCAGACUCCUCUAUCCACAGGAUUCUCUAGGCAAGAAUGCUGGAGUGGGUUGCCAUGCCCUUCUCCCACGUUGCGGGCAGACUCUUUACUGUCUGAGCCACCAGGAAAGCCCUAAGUAAACUAGUGUUCAAAUGCUUACUGAAUUAACAACACAGAAGGCUCUUCAAAUACUACAUACAAUCACCUAAUAACCAAUAAAUUUAAUGAACUGGGUUGUGGAAUUACCCAUCUGUGCCCUGCUGGAGCUGGCCUGCAAAGUGAGGCUGAUGUGUCUAACUCCAAGUUUAAUUAAAUUAACAUCAGACUGGUAGCUGAAAUCAGCCAUGGUGAGAGUAUUAAUAUCACAUGUAUCAGUAAGCACUACAGAACAGGACACUUUUUCAUGAGAGAGAAGCAUUCACCAGCACAACAUAUGACCAGCACAUCUUGGUCGUAUAUUCAAUUGUUCAAAUAUACCACAUAAAAUUUUUAAUGAAUGACAUGUUUUAAAAUAUACAAGGCAAAAGUUAACUAAUGAAUAUAAAUUCAAUACAAUAACACAUUUUAGUAACAGCACCCUUUCAAAAGUAAUUUUACUACUGUUUAGGGCACAGACUUAAUAGUUGGAAUGUUUCUCAAAACAGGAGUUAUUGUGAUACUUCAAAUGUCUCUUAAUUUUAAAACCUGACCCACUAUUUACCCCCAUGAAUUUACUUGUAAAGUUUAAAUAAAACCCUAGAGAAUAAACUACUGAUUUCAGCAAAUUAUGAAUGGAAUCAAAAUUAAAAAUGAUUUUUAUUAGGUAUAUAAGAUAUAGAAAGAGAUUCUCUUAGAAUUUCAUACGAUUUUUAAAAAAUCUGCUUACACAUAAAUGUGAGAGCAUCUUAAUCCAGCAAUAAAACACCUGCUCCCCAGAGCAAAAGCCCUGUCAUUAGCCAAAUGCCUUGCUUCUUUCAUCCUUAGUAUGAGCCCACUUUACGGACCAUAUGAGAUAAUACAUGAAAAGCAUUUAGCAAGUUUCUGAUACACUAAAAGAGCUUAAUAAACCACACUCUGUAAUACCGUCACCAUUAUUACUUUCAAGUCAUAUCUUUAAAGAAAUAUAUCUUUAUAAGGUCCCGUAGAGAUUAACUUUCUGAUAUAAAUCUGAGACUGCAAGUGGAGGCCAAAGAUGAGGUGAGUCACUCUGAAUGUGAGUUUGGAGCAGGAGCACAAACAUGAACAAAGAGGUGACUGACUAUGUAUCAUAAACUACCUUUUACAAAGUCACAAUGUCUUCAAAAGAAUUUAAAAACAUUCUGUUUAAAUGAGAAACAACAAGUGUUCUUUCUAAAAAUGGACAAGUAUAAAAAACCACUGGGGGAAAAACCCAGAGCAAACUUCUUUCUUAAGUAAAUACAUCAUUCCUUUAACUGUAGCCGACGUCUUGGAAGGUAAUGAUUUUUGUUAGAGAAAUCCUAUUUUCAUUCCUAUAUAUGUAUAUAUAUACACACACAUACAUACACAAAGUUAAAAUUCUUUGUUAACUAUAAACACAGUAGAGAUAAGAAAUUAUUCUUCAUUUUUGAACUUUCUUUAGCAAGGUGUAAUUUUAAAAUAGCUAUCUGACACUCUACCAAAAGAAUACCACAAUUUCAAAGUGGUCAAAAGAAUAAAUAAUUCUAAUAUAAGUACUAAUAUCCAAGAGCCACAACUUGGAAUAUUCCUUUUAAAAAUGAGAUAUUCACCAAUUUCAUUAUUACUGAAAUACAUUCAAAUAAAAAUCAAAGGAAGAAAAUCCAGAAAACAACAUUUAAAAAGUUUGCCAUUUCAACUGAAAUUUAAA
This is a long non-coding RNA of Bos taurus (domestic cattle), 4241 nucleotides long. Lineage: Eukaryota; Metazoa; Chordata; Mammalia; Artiodactyla; Bovidae. The record is from Ensembl.